Simkania negevensis Z is the source of this 343-nucleotide non-coding RNA. It matches the Rfam family "Bacterial RNase P class A". Rfam says of the family: Ribonuclease P (RNase P) is a ubiquitous endoribonuclease, found in archaea, bacteria and eukarya as well as chloroplasts and mitochondria. Its best characterised activity is the generation of mature 5'-ends of tRNAs by cleaving the 5'-leader elements of precursor-tRNAs. NCBI's taxonomy places the organism in Bacteria, Pseudomonadati, Chlamydiota, Chlamydiia, Parachlamydiales, Simkaniaceae. The record is from Rfam.
UCGGAAAAGGACGCAAUCGCUGCCAUUUAUUGGGAGAGGAAAGUCUGGACUUCGCAGAAAAAGGUGCCAGUGAAAAACUGGGGGCCGUAAGGCUACGGAAAGUGUAACAGAAAACAAACCGCUAAUUCUACCUAGGUAAGAUUAGACAGGAUGAAAAUGUCGAGCUUAUGGCUCGACCUCUUUGUGGAAACACAAGGACGCUGCAAACCCCACCUGAAGCAAGAAAGAGUUCGUUUCAGUUUUUCGCUCAGGAACUCUUAGAGUCGCUCGAGGAUUUUGGUGACAAAGUCCCUAGAUGAAUGAUUGCCUCGCACAGAAUCCGGCUUACCCCUUUUCCGACAGC